GACGAACGCUGGCGGCGUGCUUAACACAUGCAAGUCGCGCGAUGAAGUUUCUUCGGAAAUGGAUUAGCGGCGAACGGGUGAGGAACACGUGAAGAAUCUGCCCUCCACUUUGGGAUAACACAGGGAAACCUGUGCUAAUACCGAAUAUUGAAACAUAAGUGGCAUCACUGAGUUUUGAAAGAACUUCGGUGGAGGAUGACUUCGCGGCCUAUCAGCUAGUUGGUGAGGUAAUGGCCCACCAAGGCAACGACGGGUAGCCGGCCUGAGAGGGCGACCGGCCACACUGGGACUGAGACACGGCCCGGAGUCCUACAGGAGGCAGCAGUGGGGAAUAUUGGGCAAUGGAGGAAACUCUGACCCAGCGACGCCGCGUGCGGGAUGAAGGCCUUCGGGUUGUAAACCGCUUUCAGUAGGGAAGAAGCGAAAGUGACGGUACCUACAAAAGAAGCACCGGCUAACUAUGUGCCAGCCGCCGCAGUAA
This 481-nucleotide ribosomal RNA is filed under the name uncultured bacterium. RNAcentral describes it as "partial 16S ribosomal RNA". It matches the Rfam family "Bacterial small subunit ribosomal RNA", at positions 28 to 523 of the family's 1533-position model. The record is from RNAcentral.